GCGCGAAAACUUUACAAUGCGGGAAACCGCGAUAAGGGGACACUGAGUGCCAGCACCAUGUGCUGGCUGUCCGCAUGUACAAAUCACAUGUGUCAGCAAGGGCCGGGCAAGACCGGUGCCAGCCGCCGCGGUAACACCGGCGGCCCGAGUGGUGGCCAUUAUUAUUGGGUCUAAAGGGUCCGUAGCCGGUUUGAUCAGUCUUCCGGGAAAUCUGACAGCUCAACUGUUAGGCUUCUGGGGGAUACUGUCAGACUUGGAACCGGGAGAGGUAAGAGGUACUACAGGGGUAGGAGUGAAAUCUUGUAAUCCUUGUGGGACCACCAGUGGCGAAGGCGUCUUACCAGAACGGGUUCGACGGUGAGGGACGAAAGCUGGGGGCACGAACCGGAUUAGAUACCCGGGUAGUCCCAGCCGUAAACGAUGCUCGCUAGGUGUCUGGGAUGGUGCGACCGUUUCAGGUGCCGCAGGGAAGCCGUGAAGCGAGCCACCUGGGAAGUACGGCCGCAAGGCUGAAACU
Molecule: ribosomal RNA, 517 nt
Filed under: uncultured Methanolobus sp.
Lineage: Archaea; Methanobacteriati; Methanobacteriota; Methanomicrobia; Methanosarcinales; Methanosarcinaceae
Description: bacterial SSU rRNA
Rfam family: Archaeal small subunit ribosomal RNA
Source: RNAcentral